Brassica oleracea var. oleracea is the source of this 172-nucleotide long non-coding RNA. RefSeq lists it as uncharacterized. Lineage: Eukaryota; Viridiplantae; Streptophyta; Magnoliopsida; Brassicales; Brassicaceae. The record is from RefSeq and is a predicted model, not a curated record. The transcript is spliced from 3 exons.
CAGGGGAAGAGGUAGAAGGUGAUCAUCGUCCUACUCUUGUUCCCCAAGCACCCUCAAGCCUUAAGGCUCCUAUGACGAUAUUAAGGAGCCGCAUUCCUAAGAGUGAAUCCGUGAUCUGACAGCAACAACAACUACCACCACCUUUGUCUUUGUCUUCUUGGUUGGAGUUAAU